UACAAUUUAUUUGACAUUCGAGAAUUACACGGAUAACCGUAGUAACUCUAGGGAUAAUACGUGGUACUUUUCCUCACCUUAUCUAAUAAGGCGGAAGAGCGUGCAUAUUAUCUAAAACCUCUAAAGGUUGAAACAGAGUAUUUUUCGGAUCGCGUGGGUUCUACCAGCGACGUGUCAUUCAAGUUUCUGCCCUAUUAGCUCCGACGGUAGAAUAGAGGUUUACCGUGGCAAUAACGGGUAACGGGGAACGGGGGUUCGACUCCGGAGAGGCAGCCUGAGAAACGGCUACCACA
RNAcentral lists this ribosomal RNA (293 nucleotides) under uncultured eukaryote. RNAcentral describes it as "partial 18S rRNA". It matches the Rfam family "Eukaryotic small subunit ribosomal RNA", at positions 111 to 414 of the family's 1831-position model. The record is from RNAcentral.